Non-coding RNA from Zootermopsis nevadensis, 3468 nucleotides. The record is from RefSeq and is a predicted model, not a curated record. NCBI's taxonomy places the organism in Eukaryota, Metazoa, Arthropoda, Insecta, Blattodea, Termopsidae.
ACUCACCAUGUGGUCAAUAGUUGAAUGUGCAGUCUUCUAAGUCAGAACUAAGUGCGAUCUCCGCAGAAUUAGAUUUUAGCGCAUUCAGUCCGUACUCUGAACACAGCGUGCCUUGAUAGCAGAUGGCGGAGGACAGGAAUUGAAGCAGGGGACAGAGAGAGACGCUAAGCCUUUACUGGUCGGGGAAGGAGCAUUGCAUUCGUUACCGUUCAUUAAUACCCGAAUAACGGGCCAUAUACGGAUGUUAAUAUAGUGUAGCAAAGGGCUUUAAUAGAGGUAUAAAACUAAUGUAGUGUGGCUCAUAAUUUGGCGUAAAUGAACACAAAAGGACUCAUAAAACCUGUUAAAUGUGCAUAUGAAACAGAAAGAGAUUUCACAAGUUUGGAAUGUCCGGUCUGCUUACUAUAUCAACAUAUGUGCAUAAAGGGGACAUGUAAAAUUACGUAAUUUAAAUAUUCAGAACUUAUUAUUGAAAGUAAUCGUUCUUCUCCGUGAAUCUUAUCGGUUGCGUAGUACCUGCCCAUAUGACAAAAGAUUUUAGCAGAGUGCUAAUAUUCUAGGAUUACUUUAAAAGCUGAAAUUUAAAAAGAUGGGUUGGGGGUUCAAUAUACACACUAGGCCUGCUUAAUGACAAACUUUGUUGCUUAUACACUUUUCCUGGCAACUUAUUGUUGGGGCAGAUAAAUUGUGUUGAAGGAAAUUAUAAUGUAUGAAGUUACAUAGGAUAAUUUAGUGCGAAUACUGUCAUUGUUUCCUAAAGCUACCUCCAUUGAGCACAGUCCUACCUGAGAACCUAGUAGUACAUUCAUUUUAUUAAACCAGAACGUCCAUUAACGUAUUCACAAGACCCCUUGUAGAUUCUAUCCUGAGGUAGAUUAAUUAGUCAUAUUUUCCGAAGAACGAUUUUAAUAUUAUCCUCCCAUCUACACUAAAGUCUUCCUAGUCCGGUGAAAUCAGAAAUCUGUAAACCAUAAAAUAUUUUAUGAAGACGCUGGUCAGCAGUAGAGAUAUUAUACCAAAUGUAAAUAUUUUUUGCGUACAAGAGUAGCAUCCUUAAGGUCCGUGCUUAAGAACAUCGGCCACAACUCAGUACUCGUUCGUGGGUGGCAGGGUUUUUGGUUAUCGAGACAGCUUUGCUUUCUGUUAGUGGUUUCUGGAGAGUAACAUGAUCUGUCCAUCUUCACCUUCUCUGAAAAGUCACUUAUUAGAAAGUAGGCGGAGCAAAUUGGCGAAAAGAAACAAGCCAAAACUCUAUAUAGAGAGGUCAUUUUCAUCCCUCUGAAGUAAUUUAUGAUUCCAGUAUUUAAAACUCUUUGGUGUAAGUAAAUAAAAAUGGUUCCAAAAAUACUUGUCAGAAGUGGGAUUCGAACCCACGCCCACAGAAGUGGACUGCGACCUGAACGCAGCGCCUUAGACCGCUCGGCCAUCCUGACAUGAACAUAGGUUCUGCCGUACGGCAUUAAAACGGAGUAGUUGCUGGCAGUUUGCCCAUAUCAGGAAGUCAUACUUUUAAUUGUAAUUAAUGCAAUAAAAUAAAUAUGCCGAUUUGUCGACUACUAACAAUGCAAGAAUAUGUUUUUGUACUUUCUUUGCUUUAUAUACAAAUUCCUGUCGAUUUUGGGCGUAAAUUCAGUUAAUAAACAUACAUACAAUUGAACAUGGUUGUCUUCUGGGUUGUAAUGCCGUGUAGUCUGGUAGAAGUUUACCAACGUUUCACAAGGUCCUUGCUGCCACCAUCAUCAGGGCGAUUUUCUUUCACGCGUGGCGUAUCUGAUUUUUUUUGUUUUUCCGAAAUAUGGAGUCAAAAAAAAGUGAAUGCCCUUAUAAUGCAAGCCAAAUUGAGGCAGAUUUAUUUUCGAGCUGUUUGCUGUGAAAGCUUCGUACAGCAAUUGGCUUGUCUUCCUGUGUCUGGCAUCACAACCCGGUAGUCCACUAUCGUCAUCUGUGCCGCCAUAAGAAGAUCAAAUCUCAUCUUUACUGGCUAACCGUUUAUAACAGUUCAUACAUAUUGUUAGAUUUUAAGUGCAAUCUGUUGUUAAUAAAACGUCAUUAAAUAAGGUAGCAAUAGAUCUGUGGCAAAUUUAUAGUGUAAAUCAAAUUUCCUGAAUAGUUUUUAGUCAUCCAAAGUUUGUGAGACCAAAUAAUCAAGCAUACAUAAGGCCUGCUACAAUGAAACAUUUUCAAGACAAACUUUGAUGAAGUGAUGAAUUUGAGUGUUAGUUUCAAAUAAAUGUAGUACUUGCAGGGUAAGAAAGUGCCCCGAUCUUGUUUUCAAUUACACCAUCUCCCCUUCAAUUUGCCGCUUCGCUUAACCCAAGAAAUCACAAGGCAUAAAUCAAAUCAGCUGUCUAUUCUAAUUGAAUUUUACUUUGCGAAAUGCGGCCGAAAAAUUACCAACACCAUGUGUGUAAAUACAGUAGGUCAUUGGAUUAAAACUUAUCAGGUAAUUUCGUGAUAGCGAUAACUUGAUUAAUUUUUAAUUAACCAUGUUAAACUCUCUGCCGAUGCAAUUAUGAUGUACGCACACGGGUACUGCCCGAUGCCCCUAAAAAUUAAAAUUAGAUUGGAGUAGUCCGAAACAGAAAAUACCGACAAGGAAAACCACAAGUUCGAUUACAUCGGCUGUACUCCCAACAGCGCUUCGUGAAGUGAUAAAGGUGUACACAUAAGACCCGAUAUUCUCAACCAAAUUUUAAGCCUUUUUCUUUAUAACAUUAAUAGCAGACAUCAGAGUAAUUUUACAUUUGAAUUCAGUCUGCAAUUAAUAAUUUCGCCUGAAUUAUGAAUGUGGUUUAUCGAACGACCACAUAGCAACGAUUAUUUCUAAUAAACGAAUGAACAGGAGGGGAUGUAGAAGGAAGUGACCAUGUUCUAAUUUAAGGUUAUAUCCCAGAAUUUGCCUGAAGGGACUGAGGAAAAUCAUAAAAAAUCUCAUAAUACCCGGUCAGCAUGACAAUAUUUGAAUGCAUAGCAGAAGUAUAGACCAAGUUUUUUGUCAAUUCCUUAUUCCCCUAUCCUUAAAUUUCCUUUGAAUUUCAUUAUAUAACAUCAAAAAGUGUUUAAAAUAACAUUUUUUUAUUAUAUACAAAUUCUGUGUACAUUACGUUGUUUCAGAGAACAUCAACAUUUGUAUUAGCUUUGAGUGAACAAGUUUACUUGAUGUAUAAAGUGAAGCAUAAAUUUUAACACCUCCAUUUCUGGAUGAUUGGUUAGGUUAUGUUUGUUACUCAGAAGAAAGCUUUAACCUUGGCAGUGCAGAGCCAUGCAGAAAUCUGAUAGCAGUAAGUUCAUUGCUAGAAACCAAAAGAUAUUUCAGCAGAGAAAACAUUAUGCACAUAUAUUUUUAUAUUUUCACAAGGUUCAUGUGUCCCUCCACAAUGAAUGUCAAACACUGAAGCGCAAAGCUUUUCUCCUGAGUAACAGCAACACAGUAAUAAGGAAAAUGUCAAUUAAAAUGUUUCUUACUUA